Molecule: small RNA, 136 nt
Filed under: Gammaproteobacteria bacterium
Lineage: Bacteria; Pseudomonadati; Pseudomonadota; Gammaproteobacteria
Description: RtT sRNA
Rfam family: RtT RNA
About the family: This family represents a bacterial cis-regulatory element known as RtT RNA. The exact function of RtT is unknown although it is thought that it may be involved in changing the cellular response in relation to amino acid starvation.
Source: RNAcentral
GCUUUUUAUUGGGGGGCAAGGAUGAGAACCUCAGGUUCGACUAAAUCGCAGGAAGCGAUUUAGAUCAGCGCGCUUUAUGCGCUGACCCGCAGGGUGAGUCCCAGGGAAGGGGCGAAUAAUCCUUGUCCCCCAACCA